RNAcentral lists this ribosomal RNA (503 nucleotides) under uncultured bacterium. RNAcentral's name for it is "partial 16S ribosomal RNA". It matches the Rfam family "Bacterial small subunit ribosomal RNA", at positions 30 to 523 of the family's 1533-position model. The record is from RNAcentral.
AUUGAACGCUGGCGGCAGGCUUAACACAUGCAAGUCGAGCGGGGUGAUGGUGCUUGCACUAUCACUUAGCGGCGGACGGGUGAGUAAUGCUUAGGAAUCUGCCUAUUAGUGGGGGACAACAUCUCGAAAGGGAUGCUAAUACCGCAUACGUCCUACGGGAGAAAGCGGGGGAUCACUUGUGACCUUGCGCUAAUAGAUGAGCCUAAGUCGGAUUAGCUAGUUGGUGGGGUAAAGGCCUACCAAGGCGACGAUCUGUAGCGGGUCUGAGAGGAUGAGCCGGCACACUGGGACGGAGACACGGCCCAGACUCCUACGGGAGGCAGCAGUGGGGAAUAUUGGACAAUGGGGGGAACCCUGAUCCAGCCAUGCCGCGUGUGUGAAGAAGGCCUUAUGGUUGUAAAGCACUUUAAGCGAGGAGGAGGCUCUUUUGGUUAAUACCCAAGAUGAGUGGACGUUACUCGCAGAAUAAGCACCGGCUAACUCUGUGCCAGCAGCCGCGGUAA